UAUAUAUUUAUAUUUUUUUCUUCAUCCUGAAUUGACAGUCAAUUACAUAUAUUCAUCUAUGGUGGAACAUAAUAAAGCAAGCGAUAUAAAUAAGCAUAAUCAAGUACUGUAUAGCUUAAAACUAUCCAGCAAUUUUAAAGAAGGGUGGAGAACGGAAGUAAACAUGAUUAAGGCGAAGUGAGGGACAAUUGACAUAACAAUGUCAGAAGUUUUAUCAUCUGGACAACUUAGAGAAAUCUACAACGCUACUGGGGGCCCAUGGGGUGGAAAUUAUAUCAAUGACCAGAUAAUAAAAACCCUGAAAGUAGUUAUCGGUUGGGAGGAAAUGAGAAGGUUCCAAGCAGAGGAUUAUGAUGACUACCUUGACAUAUUGAGACAAGUUGAACAAAUUAAACGUGGUGUGGACCACGACUCUGAAUUGUCAAUAUUAAUACCAAGAGCACUUUUGACGAACAUAAACGUUCCCGAUUCACUCAAGCAGGACGUGCGAAUAGAAAAGAAAUGUAUUACGUUAUCGACAGCAUUAAUACAAACAAUAUUUUCUUCGUCGGUUGAUUCAAUGAUCAAACAUGUUGAAAAGCUACUUAAGAAAGAAGAAGUAUGAAACGUGUCAACUAUUCUGUUGGUAGGGGGAUAUUCAGCAUCCAACGUUAUUCAACGUGCUUUUCGGGAGAAGUUUGAGAAGAAAUAUAAGAUAAUUAUCCCAUUGACCCCAGAUAUGAUAGUUUUAAAGGGAGCAGUUAUUGGAGGCCAUCGCGUCGAGGCUAUCGUCGGACGGAUGGCAAAGUAUCACUAUGGUCUAGGCUUAAGUACAGCAGCAGUCUCUGGUCAAAGUAUAUUAAUAACAGAAAAUGAGGAAAAAAGAUUUUUCUCGUUAAUCGAGAAAGGCCAAAAGAUCAAAGUUGGUGAUGUAAUAACACAAUACGAAAUUGUCUUAAAAGCGAAUUCAAGAUGGGCCAACCUUGAAAUGUAUACCACCAAAGAAGAUAAACCAAGGACAAUCGUUGAUAAUGAACAUUUCACAAAAAUUGGAAGCAUCCGUGUUAUACUUCCACAAUUCAGAAAAGAAAUCAAAUUGAGAAUGGAAAUUGGGAAUGUGUCAAAGAGACAACAACCCGACCAUAGAACAGACAACAGCAGAAGGUCACCAACAGGUCUUCAAUGCAGCGAGAAAUUCCCGCACCCGGAGGCGUCCUUCAGCUGGCCCCUAAACAAAUAUAUAUACUAGUUCAGUGAUAAUGAACGCCAUACUAAACUCCAAAUUGUACACAAGAAACUAAAAUUAAAAAUAAUACAAGACUAAUAAAGGCUAGAGGCUCCUGACUUGGGACAGGCGCAAAAAUGCGGCGGGGUUAAACAUGUUUAUGAGAUCUCAACCCUCCUCCUAUACCUCUAGCCAAUGUAGAAAAGUAAACGCAUAACAAUACGCAUAAGUAUACUUAUCCUGACAAUAUCAUAUGGCGAAACAGAAUUCAAAGUAGUUGCUACAGAUAAAAAUACAGGUCGCUGCUUCAUUGGUAAUUGCCGGUUUUUAGACAAGGAUAUCAAGCCAAAAUCUGAUUGAAAUUAAAAUUUCAAUCAAAUUAACAACGUGUGAAGGUAUAACCCUGUUGGUUUUGUUUUAAAUAUGUCAUUAAGCUUAGUAUGUAGUUUAUUCAUACCAUAGAUUAAACAUUAAUUGGCAAUGUUUAGAUUUUGUUCUCAUAUAUGUAUGCAGUAGCAUAACAUUGAGGAUACGUAUUUGGGAAAUAUACGGUUGAAUAUUACUAAGAAACAAAGGUAUGAACAAUUCAAACACAGUUGACCUUAUUAAAAUAUGGUUUUCUUUUUUGGUCCCUUUUGUUCACCGUAUAGCUCCUCUGACGUUUCCACAUAUUUAUACAUCCCUGGCUUUCAAAUGUUGGCAUUUGAGUGUUCCUGAUGAAGGCAAAUUCAGACAAGAGCUUCGAAUACUAUUUAUUAAGUGUUAUCUUCAUCUACUAGCAUUUGGUCGAUAGCAUAGCUUGUGAACUGUUAGUUCCCACUGAUAUCAACAUCCCAGUAGUCAGUGCUUCAGUACUGACAUAAUUAAUAAAAAAAAUCUAAAAUUCUCCGUUGAUAAAUUUCACAACUACUAAGAAACUAGAAGAGAGGCGCUAGAUACCAAAGGGACAUUCAAACUUGAAAAUAAACUGACAAUGCCGUGACACAAAAAGAAAAAGA
Long non-coding RNA from Mytilus californianus (California mussel), 2202 nucleotides. RefSeq lists it as uncharacterized. The transcript has 2 exons. Lineage: Eukaryota; Metazoa; Mollusca; Bivalvia; Mytilida; Mytilidae. The record is from RefSeq and is a predicted model, not a curated record.